AGAGUUUGAUCCUGGCUCAGGAUGAACGCUGGCGGCGUGCCUAAUACAUGCAAGUCGAGCGAACCACUUCGGUGGGAAGCGGCGAACGGGUGAGUAACACGUAGGUGAUCUGCCCAUCAGACGGGGACAACGAUUGGAAACGAUCGCUAAUACCGGAUAGGACGAAAGUUUAAAGAUGCUCCUGGCAUCACUGAUGGAUGAGCCUGCGGCGCAUUAGCUAGUUGGUGGGGUAAAGGCCUACCAAGGCGACGAUGCGUAGCCGACCUGAGAGGGUGAACGGCCACACUGGGACUGAGACGCGGCCCAGACUCCUACGGGAGGCAGCAGUAGGGAAUCUUCGGCAAUGGGCGAAAGCCUGACCGAGCAACGCCGCGUGAAUGAAGAAGGCCUUCGGGUUGUAAAAUUCUGUUAUAAGGGAAGAAAGGUGAUAGGAGGAAAUGACUAUCAAUUGACGGUACCUUAUGAGAAAGCCACGGCUAACUACGUG
RNAcentral lists this ribosomal RNA (487 nucleotides) under uncultured Turicibacter sp. RNAcentral describes it as "bacterial SSU rRNA". It matches the Rfam family "Bacterial small subunit ribosomal RNA", at positions 8 to 507 of the family's 1533-position model. The record is from RNAcentral. Lineage: Bacteria; Bacillati; Bacillota; Erysipelotrichia; Erysipelotrichales; Turicibacteraceae.